Molecule: transfer RNA, 549 nt
Filed under: Amazonocrinis nigriterrae CENA18
Lineage: Bacteria; Bacillati; Cyanobacteriota; Cyanophyceae; Nostocales; Nostocaceae
Description: 16S-23S ribosomal RNA intergenic spacer
Rfam family: tRNA (bases 285-357)
Source: RNAcentral
CCUUUUAAGGGAGACCUACCCAACUUUGAUUAUCGAAAGCGAGUGUGCAAAUAGAUGCAAAGAAGGUAAUUCCUAGGUCGGUCUUGGGACUUGUUGGGGCUUUCAAACUAUGAUUUGGUUCAAUUGGGCUAUUAGCUCAGGUGGUUAGAGCGCACCCCUGAUAAGGGUGAGGUCCCUGGUUCGAGUCCAGGAUGGCCCACCUGAAAAAAGGAGCCAGAACUCAGGAGUCAGGAAUCAGAAUAAAAUUAUGAAUUCUGAGUGCUGAAUACUGAAUUCUUGAUUCUGGGGGUUUAGCUCAGUUGGUAGAGCGCCUGCUUUGCAAGCAGGAUGUCAGCGGUUCGAGUCCGCUAACCUCCACCUGUAAAAAGCCAAGAACAGAUAAGAGCAAAUUCAGCAACAUGACACAGGGGUGUCAGACUGCUGAGGAUGUCUCAGCCAGAACCUUGAAAACUGCAUAGUAACGCGAACAUUAGCAGGCAGACACAGACAUGAUUAAAGUAGUGAAAGUGUUUGGAUGGUGAAACACCAAAUGUUGAAAGUGGUCAAGCU